AUGCUUGUAAAAUGAAUUUUCUAAAUGGUCUAAAGAGGCAUAAGCUGAGCUAGGGAAGAAAGCCCUAAUGACCUUGAUUCAGCAAAGUCAUGGUUUUCAAUAUUGACCUCUUUGUUGAAGACAUCCCUGUUAAAAGCAUUAUGUUAGGAUAUUUUUUUGGCAGCUGAGGAAGUAGAGAGAAAGGAAAGGAAUGGAGGAAGAAAUGGGAGAAGAAAGAAAAUAAUUCUAGAAGAAUCAAGAGAGAGAGAGA
Molecule: unclassified non-coding RNA, 250 nt
Filed under: Hevea brasiliensis (rubber tree)
Lineage: Eukaryota; Viridiplantae; Streptophyta; Magnoliopsida; Malpighiales; Euphorbiaceae
Source: RNAcentral